This is a long non-coding RNA of Pararge aegeria (speckled wood butterfly), 337 nucleotides long. RefSeq lists it as uncharacterized. The record is from RefSeq and is a predicted model, not a curated record. Lineage: Eukaryota; Metazoa; Arthropoda; Insecta; Lepidoptera; Nymphalidae. The transcript has 3 exons.
GACGAAAAGCAAUACGUAUUCCAUAGCACUGUAAAGAAAUCUGUUUCAACAACUGCAAUUACGAAAGAGAGCAAUUCCGAUUACGUAUUUGGAAAUCGAGCAACAGUUGUAAUUAGCAAAGGAAACAGAGAUUCUUUAGAAUCACAACAGUAUUUUAAUGUUUCAAAAGUUAACACCGAUGUGACAGCGUUGAUACAUUUAAAAUCAGAUAUUCACAAACCUGUAAAAUGUCAUUCAACACCAAACUCACUAAGAAAACGGGAAGAUAUUAAAGUCCCCGUUAAUUCGUAUGUGGAGUAUCCAUCAGAAGUUUUACAAAAAACGACUAAUUUUGAAA